GGACAGUGUACUUGUCCUCAUGAUUUCAACACCAAAUCGUAAAGAUCUUGUAUUUCCAAAGGGUGGGUGGGAAGACGAUGAGACUCUUGAUCAAGCUGCUUGUCGAGAGGCCUUGGAGGAAGCAGGAGUUACAGGACUACUUGGUGAAAAUCCACUAGGAGUUUGGGAGUUUCGAAGCAAGAGCAGCCAGAAUAGUAGCAGUUUGGUAGGAGGCUGUAAAGGCUAUAUGUUUGCACUGGAGGUAACCGACGAGCUUGACCACUGGCCAGGACAGGCUAGUUACAGUAGAAAAUGGCUUACCACAGAGGAAGCUUUCAAAUUCUGCCGGUAUGACUGGAUGAGAGAAGCUCUUAAAAAAUUUCAGGCAGGCCUCUCCAAGGACAACACUGUACACGUUAAAGAGGAAGAGCCGGCAGAGAGUCAAAUGGUGUCAUCAGGUUACUUUGUAAAGCCACCUGGUGUCCAGCACCUUGAANNNNAAGAAUCCUCUACCAAGCCUUGUUUAUUGACAAUCUAUAAUCAGUUGUUAAAGCUGUAGCUCAUAUUCCGAUUCUGUAAAAAGCUUGGACCAUUGUACAGCUC
This 582-nucleotide unclassified non-coding RNA is filed under the name Hevea brasiliensis (rubber tree). The record is from RNAcentral. Lineage: Eukaryota; Viridiplantae; Streptophyta; Magnoliopsida; Malpighiales; Euphorbiaceae.